Molecule: ribosomal RNA, 426 nt
Filed under: uncultured bacterium
Lineage: Bacteria
Description: bacterial SSU rRNA
Rfam family: Bacterial small subunit ribosomal RNA
Source: RNAcentral
UCGAGAAUCUUCGGCAAUGGACGCAAGUCUGACCGAGCGACGCCGCGUGCGGGAUGAAGGCCUUCGGGUUGUAAACCGCUGUCGUAGGGGAGGAAAUUCCGGAGGGUACUCCCUCCGGAUUGACUGAUCCUAGGAGGAAGGACCGGCUAAUCUCGUGCCAGCAGCCGCGGUAAUACGAGAGGUCCAAACGUUAUUCGGAAUCACUGGGCUUACAGAGUUCGUAGGCGGCUCUACAAGUGAGGUGUGAAAGCCCUCGGCUCAACCGAGGAACUGCGCUUCAAACUGUAAAGCUAGAGGAAGAUAGAGGUGAGCGGAACUGAUGGUGGAGCGGUGAAAUGCGUUGAUAUCAUCAGGAACACCGGAGGCGAAGGCGGCUCACUGGGUCUUUUCUGACGCUGAGGAACGAAAGCUAGGGGAGCAAACGGG